RNAcentral lists this ribosomal RNA (261 nucleotides) under uncultured archaeon. RNAcentral's name for it is "partial 16S ribosomal RNA". It matches the Rfam family "Archaeal small subunit ribosomal RNA", at positions 748 to 1009 of the family's 1478-position model. The record is from RNAcentral.
UAGCCGUAAACGAUACUCGCUAGGUGUCGGCCACGGUGCGACCGUUGUCGGUGCCGUAGGGAAGCCGUGAAGCGAGCCACCUGGGAAGUACGGCCGCAAGGCUGAAACUUAAAGGAAUUGGCGGGGGAGCACAACAACGGGUGGAGCUUGCGGUUUAAUUGGAUUCAACGCCGGAAAUCUCACCAGGGGCGACAGCAGAAUGACGGCCAGGUUGAUGACCUUGCUUGACAAGCUGAGAGGAGGUGCAUGGCGUAGUCGUGU